GACGAACGCUGGCGGCGCGCUUAACACAUGCAAGUCGAACGGAAAGGCCUGCUUUCCCUUGUGGAUUGCGGGUACUCGAGUGGCGAACGGGUGAGUAACACGUGAGUGAUCUGCCCCCAACUUGGGUAUAAGCCUGGGAAACUGAGGCUAAUUCCCGAUAGGACUGCAGGGUGGUGCCUGUGGUGGAAAACGAUUUUCUAGUGGUUGGGGAUGAGCUCGCGGCCUAUCAGCUUGUUGGUGGGGUAAUGGCCUACCAAGGCGGCGACGGGUAGCCGGCCUGAGAGGGUGGACGGCCACAUUGGGACUGAGAUACGGCCCAGACUCCUACGGGAGGCAGCAGUGGGGAAUAUUGGACAAUGGGCGGAAGCCUGAUGCAGCGACGCCGCGUGGGGGAUGACGGCCUUCGGGUUGUAAACUCCUUUCGACCGCGAGGAAGCCACCUGGUUGGAAGGGUGGUGACGGUAGUGGUAGAAGAAGCACCGGCUAACUACGUG
This 494-nucleotide ribosomal RNA is filed under the name uncultured bacterium. Its description in RNAcentral is "partial 16S ribosomal RNA". It matches the Rfam family "Bacterial small subunit ribosomal RNA", at positions 28 to 507 of the family's 1533-position model. The record is from RNAcentral.